UAUCGGGGAAGGACGCCGGCCGGUCGCCGCCGCAGACGACGACGCCGACGACGACGACGACUACGUUCAGUCCGCUCCGACAUACGCGACGGUUCGUGUACCCUACGCGAGCGCUCGCGCGCAACUCUCUCGGCACACGGUGCCUUUAAAUUUGUAAAUUAUUAUAAUCGCGCCGACUUGACGUUAUGAAACGUACACACUCUGCUCAUACUAUAUGUGUAUAUAUAUACGUAUUCCGGUGAGCUCACGAGUAAAACCAAAUAUGCGCUCGUGACCGCCGCACGCCAUUACAUAUGUACGUAAUAUACGCGAAAUAAUAAUAUAUUAUUAUAAGUAUAUAUAUAUAUAUAUUUAUUAUACAGCCGCGUCGCCGUUUGUGCGACACGACAUAAAAUUAUCAUUAUUUUACGAUUUUUAUCGAGCACAUCACCAUCGUGUUAUUAUACUGCACAGUAUAUUAUAAUAUUAUUAUAAAUAUAUUAAUAUAUAUAUAAAUAACAAUAAUAAUAUAUACGACUUGACGGGCACGUUCGAGUUUUCUUUACGAUUCUUUUUUUUUUUUAACGUCUGUCGUCGCCGCAUAAUGCCAUGUCGUCGUGACGCAAUAAUAAUAAAAAAUAUAUUUUUUAUCAUAAUAUUACUGUAUCUAUAUAAGUAUAAUAUCGUUUUUCAAACGACUCUGAUCGGGCGUUCAAGUCUCCGCGCGAGAAAAAAAACAGAUGACAGGCCCGUCACUGCUGUACGCCUCGCAGAAGCCUAUACAGCCCGUGUUAUAAUCGACAUUAGUUCGAUUAACGCCACUUGCGGAGAACGCCGACCGUACGGAAUUCAUGCUAACGCAAAACAUGAAACGGGCUCCGGCGACCGUAUUGACUACUGCAGUACAUCGCGGUGUGCCCGACAGAGGACGAAGGAUCGCCGACGUACGCGACACGCGCUCCAAUGCUUGUUUUGGUGUUAGGGAUUUAGCGGACCAACGGUGGUCGACACACAUAGAUUUAAACAGUCCUACUGGCCUGCUAAGUCCCAAAUACCAGCAAGCCCCUCGUCAACGCUGCAGACGACGGACGAACGAGUUUUAUUUUCAUUUCGUUUAUAUAAUAGUAGCGCUUUUAUACUGUUUAUCGAUAUUAACGUAUAAUUGUAUUAUGCUGUGUUCUAUAAUAUUAAAAUAAUAUUUAACAUUAUCGUUUAGAAGUAGACUUAAUUAGGUAUUUAAAAAAAAAAUGCAAUUUUAACAUAUUUCUAUUUCGUUGUUAAUUAUUUGUGACGUACCUACCUAUAUAGUAUAUAUAGGUAUUAAGAUUAUUCUUUAAGCGACCCCAUACGGAAUGUCAAUAAUAAUAUUCAUAUAUACCUACUAAAAACGAUUAAUAUAAUUAGUGAAAAAACAUAACUGUUGUGCUUACGCGUCAACACGGGACAACAAAUCCGUACGCUAUACGACUUCGGGUGGGAUCCAGACAUUCCAGUCGGACACGAAAGCUGAAAACCGCGCACGGUGUAUUCAAAACUAUAUUAUUGUACAUACCAUACGCGAUAUACCUAUAUAUGUAUUAUUUUGGACGGAUUACCCCGUUUUUUUAACUGGGCGGUGUAACGAAUGAGAAACGAGUUGGGGGAACACUAUUCCAUUGUACGUAUAACCGUCCGCGGGGUUAUUUUUAUGAUAAGGGUUGAUGUUCGUUGUAUUAUACUGAUAAAUAAUUAAUGAUGGCAAAUCUAUUAUAAUAUUAUCACAUGCCCCUCGUACGUUUUCACCACUUACCCACAUACCACCCCCCCCCCCCGACAUACACAACUCUCUGCGUGAUGGGUCGGCCAUCGUUUAUUUACUAAAAUGGCGGGAAAGUCUGCGCAUACAUUUUUCCUCCGGUUUAUUGUUUUUAAGAUUUCUUAUUUUUUUUUUGCUAGCCGCAUAACGCCCGUGAUGGUUUUUAAUUUCAUAUCCCGCAGAGCCGAAUAUUUUCUCGGAAAUGUCUACAAGAAAAUUCUAAGAACGAAAAAAUAGUUUCAACGGAUUAUAUAGUUCAUGAUACGGUGCGCGGGGUUAAAAAUAGUUUUUUCCGAGUACAUUUUUGUUUUAUGAUUUCCUGAAUCAUUUUAUCGUAAGCGUCCUAAAUCGUAUUAUAACCACGCCGGUGACUGCAGCCCGUCCUACUAUACAAACCACUUUUUUCGAUUUGUAUAUUAUGCUGGUCGCUGCAAUUGACCUGUUCGGAAGACUUACGUAUAUCAAACCCGCCUUGAAGCCGUAAAUCAUUCGAUCGUUUAUUAGUGUAUAAAUGUAUUAUUCUUUCGGCAGGUUUUCACACCGUCCGAUUUUUUUACCUCUUACAACACGAUGACUUUUAUAAGUUAUUAAAUAUACACACAAUAGGUGUAUACUUAUUGUACGGGGACAUAUAACUUCAUCAAAAAUUAUUUCAAUUAUUUUUUUCGAUUCUAUAUAGAUAUGGCAAUAUAAUUAUUAUUAUACACUUAAACACUUACAUACGAAAUUAAAGUCUUAACAAAAUGUAUUUUUUUUUCAAAUAUUAUAUUUUAAGUAAACGUAUAAUUAUUUAAUUGUAUUCAAAACGUAUUCAUUUAGACCAUAUUAUAAUUGUAAAUCGUAUUAAUUAUAAUUUUGGACGUGUAUUAUUGUUUAUAUUUUAGAAUGAUAGUGUGUAUGUAUAUUGCGUGCAUGUGGUAUUAUUGUGGCUGCAAUAAGAUUGUAUGAAAAAAGUCAUUAGACACAAUUUGUAAUAACUACUGAUAUAUAAUAUAUAUUGUUUAAUCAUUGUUAUGUCAUUUAAAAACCUGCAAUACGACUUUAAAUAGGGUAGUUUAAAUCGAUUUUCAGACACAAUAAUUUAGACGACUGUUAAUAAGCGUUAACGUUGAAACGUUUUAAGAUAAAUUCAACGUCUUAGCAUUAUUUGUAAUUAUAAUGCACGUUAGAUAGAGAAAAAAAUACAAGAUAUUAUUCAGAUGUAUAUAUAGACUUAA
Rhopalosiphum padi (bird cherry-oat aphid) is the source of this 2991-nucleotide long non-coding RNA. RefSeq lists it as uncharacterized. NCBI's taxonomy places the organism in Eukaryota, Metazoa, Arthropoda, Insecta, Hemiptera, Aphididae. The transcript has 3 exons. The record is from RefSeq and is a predicted model, not a curated record.